CUGCCCCAAGAACAGAGGCAGUGCAUCGUCUUGGAUUUCCUCCACGGCGUCUGUCAGGAGCAGCUUGUUCUUCCUUCUGAAGAACCCACCUCCAACAGAGAACAGUUGGAGAUCCAGCUCGCCAAGGUGGUUCUGCUGCUCUGCUUCAUCGGUCUGAUUAACAAUGAGCUGGUGCCUAAACUGGAGUUCGAGACAGAGGUAAGUUUAUAUGCAGAAUAUUUCAGAUUCUUUGUUCACGCUGCAGAUUGAU
Long non-coding RNA from Pygocentrus nattereri (red-bellied piranha), 250 nucleotides. The record is from Ensembl. Lineage: Eukaryota; Metazoa; Chordata; Actinopteri; Characiformes; Serrasalmidae.